Molecule: small nucleolar RNA, 81 nt
Filed under: Pogona vitticeps (central bearded dragon)
Lineage: Eukaryota; Metazoa; Chordata; Lepidosauria; Squamata; Agamidae
Description: Small nucleolar RNA SNORD20 (ENSPVIG00000008600.1)
Source: RNAcentral
UGGAAAUGAUGAAUUCUCGCUGAACUGAUGUGAUACAUAUCACAGAUGAGCACAACCCAAGAUAGUCAAGUCCUGAUCCAG